Molecule: microRNA, 21 nt
Filed under: Aedes albopictus (Asian tiger mosquito)
Lineage: Eukaryota; Metazoa; Arthropoda; Insecta; Diptera; Culicidae
Description: miR-622
Source: RNAcentral
AGAGUUCACUGGGUUGGAGGC